GGCCAGACUCCUACGGGAGGCAGCAGUGGGGGAUAUUGCACAAUGGGGGAAACCCUGAUGCAGCGACGCCGCGUGGGUGAAGAAGCGCCUCGGCGCGUAAAGCCCUUUCAGCAGGGAAGAAAAUGACGGUACCUGACUAAGAAGCCCCGGCUAACUACGUGCCAGCAGCCGCGGUAAUACGUAGGGGGCAAGCGUUAUCCGGAUUUACUGGGUGUAAAGGGAGCGUAGACGGCAGAGCAAGUCUGAAGUGAAAGCCCGCGGCCCAACUGCGGGACUGCUUUGGAAACUGCCCGGCUAGAGUGCUGGAGAGGUAAGCGGAAUUCCUAGUGUAGCGGUGAAAUGCGUAGAUAUUAGGAGGAACACCAGUGGCGAAGGCGGCUUACUGGACAGUAACUGACGUUGAGGCUCGAAAGCGUGGGGAGCAAACAGGAUUAGAUACCCUAGUAU
Molecule: ribosomal RNA, 447 nt
Filed under: uncultured bacterium
Lineage: Bacteria
Description: bacterial SSU rRNA
Rfam family: Bacterial small subunit ribosomal RNA
Source: RNAcentral